Molecule: ribosomal RNA, 251 nt
Filed under: uncultured bacterium
Lineage: Bacteria
Description: partial 16S ribosomal RNA
Rfam family: Bacterial small subunit ribosomal RNA
Source: RNAcentral
GCCCUAGCUUGCUAGGUGUCCUUAGUGGCGCACGGGUGAGUAACACGUGGGAACAUACCUCAUAGUACGGAAUAACUGCGGGAAACUGUAGCUAAUACCGUAUAUUCCAGUAAUGGGAAAGAUUUAUCGCUAUGAGAUUGGCCCGCGCAAGAUUAGCUUGUUGGUAAGGUAAUGGCUUACCAAGGCUCCGAUCAGUAGCUGGUCUGAGAGGAUGAUCAGCCACACUGGGACUGAGACACGGCCCAGACUCC